This is a long non-coding RNA of Corvus hawaiiensis (hawaiian crow), 269 nucleotides long. RefSeq lists it as uncharacterized. The transcript has 3 exons. The record is from RefSeq and is a predicted model, not a curated record. Lineage: Eukaryota; Metazoa; Chordata; Aves; Passeriformes; Corvidae.
GGAAUAUUUAUGUCUAUUGGUUGGCUGAGGUUCCAGCUCACAAUGUCACCAUGAAGAGCUGAAGAAAGGCUUAGACAUUUUCAUCUCAGUACCACAGGAAACUUGCUUCUUCAGCUUGAUCUUCCCUUCAAAGAAGCAGAAUCAAUAAAAAAUGGAAGAGCUCUUCCACCACAGAAGAAUGUUUAAAUCACAUAAAAAUAUCGUAAUAAUUCACUGGGAUUGUGACCCUCAGAGUAAAUGUAUUGCUGACCUCCUCUGGAUAUUGCACU